AGAAAAAACCCAGCUGGCUAAACCGGAGCCACAAGCUCAUUCUUGAAGCUGAGGGAGUGCGUCCACCCCCAUUUGAAUCAUAUGGACUGAUGGGGAGAUCCCCAAAGAAAACUUAAAGAACUAUUAGCAGAAGAAGAGAAAAACGAAAGUACGUCAGCUAAAAUAGCAAAGGUACAUUUCAGUUGAUGAACACGCCCAGCAUUUCUGAAAAGCAUUUUGCCAAGUACCUAUACAACUCCUAUGCAUCUCUGUAAGCCUCGCUCAAGAGGCCCUCCCCCAAAAAGCACCCCUAUCAUCACCCUUCAACUUUCUCCUUGCUCUGAAUUCCAAUGGCACACAAUUUGGCAGCCUGUCUUCUCUCUCCCAGAGAGGUCUUCAGAGAUGAGGACCAUAUAUCACCCUCCUCUUAUACUGUCUGUCCAAAGCAAUGUCAGCUGGAACAAAUCAGAACACAUAAUGUGCACCUGGAAAACAAGCCUCUUUCUAAACAGGGAGGUGAAUUUCAACUCAAACUGAGGACAGGCUUUCCAAUAUGCAGAGCUUCCUAGCAAAUGUGAGACAAGGACUGGACCUCUCUGAUUAGGGAGGCACCAGAGGAGACUUAUGCUCCAUCAGGAGAGUACCUGAGCCAGAUGAAUUUAAAGUUUUGUCUUAAACCUUGUCCUACUGAAACAGAGGCAGAUUUGGAGAGUGCUCUUGGGAGAUACACCUGUAGAGACAUAAGGAAGAUUAGAUUAAACAGAAGGAAAAGCUGACCCACAAGGAAGCUUCAGCUGAGGAUGCAGCCAAUCCUAAAGGCAGUUCUGGAACCAGGAUGGCUCUUCAGAGUUGUUACAAAUUGAGACAAGGUGCUGGUAUUUUGCAUCAGCCAGUAAUUGGCUGUGAGCUCUCCUAUGGGCGGGUAAGGCAGUUCCCCACUCCCAAGGGCAACUUCCAGGGAGGGAUGCAGCUGUGAGCCCAUGCACCUGACAUUCCCAGCAAUGGGGAAUGGAUAUGUUGCUCUUGAGGAGUGGAUGUGGAUGGAGCAUCCAGCAGCCAUUACCUGUUCCAUCUAACCUAAGAUAUUUUGAGAUGCCCACUUGUUUUUGAGACUUAAUGAGAAUUAUUUGGCAUUCUCUAUCUCUGAACUGCUCAUGCCAAAUCUUAGUACCCGAUAUAAGUGGAGUCUGGUUGCAUGAUCAGUUGCUCAGAUCAAAGUGGGAAAAAUAAGAAAAUAAAUAGAAAUUUGGAUUUGA
This is a long non-coding RNA of Homo sapiens (human), 1235 nucleotides long. Lineage: Eukaryota; Metazoa; Chordata; Mammalia; Primates; Hominidae. The record is from Ensembl.